UAGAGUUUGAUCCUGGCUCAGAUUGAACGCUGGCGGCAGGCUUAACACAUGCAAGUCGAGCGGAGUGAUAGUGCUUGCACUAUCACUUAGCGGCGGACGGGUGAGUAAUGCUUAGGAAUCUGCCUAUUAGUGGGGGACAACAUUUCGAAAGGAAUGCUAAUACCGCAUACGUCCUACGGGAGAAAGCAGGGGAUCUUCGGACCUUGCGCUAAUAGAUAAGCCUAAGUCGGAUUAGCUAGUUGGUGGGGUAAAGGCCUACCAAGGCGACGAUCUGUAGCGGGUCUGAGAGGAUGAUCCGCCACACUGGGACUGAGACACGGCCCANACUCCUACGGGAGGCAGCAGUGGGGAAUAUUGGACAAUGGGCGCAAGCCUGAUCCAGCCAUGCCGCGUGUGUGAAGAAGGCCUUAUGGUUGUAAAGCACUUUAAGCGAGGAGGAGGCUACUGAAGUUAAUACCUUCAGAUAGUGGACGUUACUCGCAGUAUAAGCACCGGCUAACUCUGUCCCAGGAGCCGCGGUAAUACAGAGGGUGCAAGCGUUAAUCGGAUUUACUGGGCGUAAAGCGCGCGUAGGCGGCUAAUUAAGUCAAAUGUGAAAUCCCCGAGCUUAACUUGGGAAUUGCAUUCGAUACUGGUUAGCUAGAGUGUGGGAGAGGAUGGUAGAAUUCCAGGUGUAGCGGUGAAAUGCGUAGAGAUCUGGAGGAAUACCGAUGGCGAAGGCAGCCAUCUGGCCUAACACUGACGCUGAGGUGCGAAAGCAUGGGGAGCAAACAGGAUUAGAUACCCUGGUAGUCCAUGCCGUAAACGAUGACUACUAGCCAUUGGGGCCUUUGAGGCUUUAGUGGCGCAGCUAACGCGAUAUGUAGACCGCCUGGGGAGUACGGUCGCAAGACUAAAACUCAAAUGAAUUGACGGGGGCCCGCACAAGCGGUGGAGCAUGUGGUUUAAUUCGAUGCAACGCGAAGAACCUUACCUGGCCUUGACAUAGUAAGAACUUUCCAGAGAUGGAUUGGUGCCUUCGGGACCUAACAUACAGGUGGUGCAUGGCUGUCGUCAGCUCGUGUCGUGAGAAGUUGGGUUAAGUCCCGCAACGAGCGCAACCCUUUUCCUUAUUUGCCAGCGAGUAAUGUCGGGAACUUUAAGGAUACUGCCAGUGACAAACUGAAGGAAGGCGGGCACGACGUCAAGUCAUCAUGGCCCUUACGGCCAGGGCUACACAACUGCUACAAUGGUCGGUACAAAGGGUUGCUACCUAGCGAUAGGAUGCUAAUCUCAAAAAGCCGAUCGUAGUCCGGAUUGGAGUCUGCAACUCGACUCCAUGAAGUCGGAAUCGCUAGUAAUCGCGGAUCAGAAUGCCGCGGUGAAUACGUUCCCGGGCCUUGUACACACCGCCCGUCACACCAUGGGAGUUUGUUGCACCAGAAGUAGGUAGUCUAACCGCAAGGAGGACGCUUACCACGGUGUGGCCGAUGACUGGGGUGAAGUCGUAACAAGGUAGCCGUAGGGGAACCUGCGGCUGGAUCACCUCCUUA
RNAcentral lists this ribosomal RNA (1532 nucleotides) under Acinetobacter rhizosphaerae. RNAcentral describes it as "bacterial SSU rRNA". It matches the Rfam family "Bacterial small subunit ribosomal RNA". Lineage: Bacteria; Pseudomonadati; Pseudomonadota; Gammaproteobacteria; Moraxellales; Moraxellaceae. The record is from RNAcentral.